AGCAGCCGCGGUAAUUCCAGCUCCAAUAGCGUAUAUUAAAGUUGCUGCAGUUAAAAAGCUCGUAGUUGAAUUUCGGGACCAAUAUGUCGGUCGUGCCUCGGUACGUACUGGCAUCGUUGGUUUCUCCCUUCUGACGAACCAUGAUGUCAUUUAUUUGGUGUCGUGGGAAAUCAGGACUGUUACUUUGAAAAAAUUAGAGUGUUUAAAGCAGGCUCACGCUUGAAUACAUUAGCAUGGAAUAAUGAAAUAGGACGUUUGAUUCUAUUUUGUUGGUUUCUAGGAUUGACGUAAUGAUUAAUAGGGAUAGUUGGGGGCAUUAGUAUUCAAUUGUCAGAGGUGAAAUUCUUGGAUUUAUUGAAGACUAACUACUGCGAAAGCAUUUGCCAAGGAUGUUUUCAUUAAUCAAGAACGAAAGUUAGGGGAUCGAAGACGAUCAGAUACCGUCGUAGUCUUAACCAUAAACUAUGCCGACUAGGGAUCGGAUGAUGUUAAUUUUUUAAUGACUCAUUCGGCGCCUUACG
Molecule: ribosomal RNA, 521 nt
Filed under: uncultured Glomeraceae
Lineage: Eukaryota; Fungi; Glomeromycota; Glomeromycetes; Glomerales; Glomeraceae
Description: SSU rRNA
Rfam family: Eukaryotic small subunit ribosomal RNA
Source: RNAcentral